UACGGAGGGGGCUAGCGUUGUUCGGAAUUACUGGGCGUAAAGCGCACGUAGGCGGAACAGAAAGUCAGAGGUGAAAUCCCAGGGCUCAACCUUGGAACUGCCUUUGAAACUCCUGUUCUUGAGUUCGAGAGAGGUGAGUGGAAUUCCGAGUGUAGAGGUGAAAUUCGUAGAUAUUCGGAGGAACACCAGUGGCGAAGGCGGCUCACUGGCUCGAUACUGACGCUGAGGUGCGAAAGCGUGGGGAGCAAACAGG
This 253-nucleotide ribosomal RNA is filed under the name uncultured bacterium. RNAcentral describes it as "partial 16S ribosomal RNA". It matches the Rfam family "Bacterial small subunit ribosomal RNA", at positions 524 to 776 of the family's 1533-position model. The record is from RNAcentral.